This 1325-nucleotide ribosomal RNA is filed under the name metagenome. Its description in RNAcentral is "bacterial LSU rRNA". It matches the Rfam family "Bacterial large subunit ribosomal RNA", at positions 1561 to 2925 of the family's 2925-position model. The record is from RNAcentral.
AGUGGAUGGGGAGCAACCUAGUUGUGCGUGUGUAAAGGUAGUGCCAAGAAAAGCGAUGAUCAUGUUGAAAAUCAAUUCCCGGUACCCGAAACCGACACAGGUGGGCAAGUAGAGAAUACUAAGGGGCGCGAGGUAACUCUCUCCAAGGAACUCGGCAAAAUGACCCCGUAACUUAGGGAGAAGGGGUGCCACCGAGAGGUGGUCGCAGUGAAGAGGCCCAGGCGACUGUUUAGCAAAAACAUAGGUCUCUGCAAACUCGAAAGAGGAGGUAUAGGGGCUGACGCCUGCCCAGUGCCGGAAGGUUAAAGAAGUUGGUCAGUUUUAGGAUGAAGCUAGCGACUGAAGCCCCGGUGAACGGCGGCCGUAACUAUAACGGUCCUAAGGUAGCGAAAUUCCUUGUCGGGUAAGUUCCGACCCGCACGAAAGGCGUAACGAUCUGGGCGCUGUCUCGGAGAGAGGCUCGGCGAAAUAGGAUUGUCUGUGAAGAUACGGACUACCUGCAUUUGGACAGAAAGACCCUAUGAAGCUUUACUAUAGCUUGGAAUUGUGUUCGGGCUUCCUGUGCGCAGGAUAGGUGGGAGGCGUAGAAGGUAUUCUUGUGGGGAUACUGGAGCCAACGGUGAGAUACCACUCUCAGGAGGCUAGAAUUCUAACUUAAUUAAGGACAGUUUCAGGUGGGUAGUUUGACUGGGGCGGUCGCCUCCAAAAAGGUAACGGAGGCGUACAAAGGUUCCCUCAGACUGGUUGGAAAUCAGUCGAAGAGUGCAAAGGCAGAAGGGAGCUUGACUGCGAGAAGUACAGUUCGAGCAGGGUGGAAACACGGUCUUAGUGAUCCGACGGUGCUGUGUGGAAGGGCCGUCGCUCAACGGAUAAAAGUUACUCUAGGAUAACAGGCUGAUCUCCCCCAAAAGUUCACAUCGACGGGGAGGUUUGGCACCUCGAUGUCGGCUCAUCGCAACCUGGGGCGGAAGUACGUCCCAAGGGUUGGGCUGUUCGCCCAUUAAAGCGGUACGUGAGCUGGGUUCAGAACGUCGUGAGACAGUUCGGUCCAUAUCCGAUGUAGGCGUGAGAAUAUUGAGAGGAGCCUUCCUUAGUACGAGAGGACCGGGAAGGACGCACCGCUGGUGUACCUGUUAUGAUGCCAAUUGUAAACGCAGGGUAGCCAAGUGCGGAGAGGAUAACCGCUGAAAGCAUCUAAGUGGGAAGCCCACCUCAAGAUGAGUAUUCUGGUGUAAGGUCACGGGAAGACGACCCGUAAAUAGGCACGAGGUGGAAGUGCAGAGAUGUAUGAAGCCGAAGUGUACUAAUAGACCGUCGGCUUGACC